This 57-nucleotide transfer RNA is filed under the name Loxodonta africana (African savanna elephant). It matches the Rfam family "tRNA", at positions 8 to 63 of the family's 71-position model. Rfam says of the family: Transfer RNA (tRNA) molecules are approximately 80 nucleotides in length. Their secondary structure includes four short double-helical elements and three loops (D, anti-codon, and T loops). Further hydrogen bonds mediate the characteristic L-shaped molecular structure. tRNAs have two regions of fundamental functional importance: the anti-codon, which is responsible for specific mRNA codon recognition, and the 3' end, to which the tRNAs corresponding amino acid is attached (by aminoacyl-tRNA synthetases). tRNAs cope with the degeneracy of the genetic code in two manners: having more than one tRNA (with a specific anti-codon) for a particular amino acid; and 'wobble' base-pairing, i.e. permitting non-standard base-pairing at the 3rd anti-codon position. Lineage: Eukaryota; Metazoa; Chordata; Mammalia; Proboscidea; Elephantidae. The record is from Rfam by way of RNAcentral.
UGGCACAGUGGUUAAGUGUCUGGCUGCUAAUCAGAAUGUUGGUGGUUCGAACCCACC